CAACUUUCAGCAACGGAUCUCUUGGCUCUCGCAUCGAUGAAGAACGCAGCGAAAUGCGAUAAGUAAUGUGAAUUGCAGAAUUCAGUGAAUCAUCGAAUUUUUGAACGCACCUUGCGCUCCUUGGUAUUCCGAGGAGCAUGCCUGUUUGAGUGUCAUUAAUA
This 161-nucleotide ribosomal RNA is filed under the name Phlegmacium superbum. RNAcentral's name for it is "Cortinarius superbus 5.8S ribosomal RNA". It matches the Rfam family "5.8S ribosomal RNA". Rfam says of the family: 5.8S ribosomal RNA (5.8S rRNA) is a component of the large subunit of the eukaryotic ribosome. It is transcribed by RNA polymerase I as part of the 45S precursor that also contains 18S and 28S rRNA. Lineage: Eukaryota; Fungi; Basidiomycota; Agaricomycetes; Agaricales; Cortinariaceae. The record is from RNAcentral.